RNAcentral lists this ribosomal RNA (206 nucleotides) under uncultured bacterium. Its description in RNAcentral is "partial 16S ribosomal RNA". It matches the Rfam family "Bacterial small subunit ribosomal RNA", at positions 568 to 774 of the family's 1533-position model. The record is from RNAcentral.
CGCGUAGGCGGCUUUUCAAGUCGGGGGUGAAAGCCUGUGGCUCAACCACAGAAUUGCCUUCGAUACUGUUAGGCUUGAGACCGGAAGAGGUGAGUGGAACUGCGAGUGUAGAGGUGAAAUUCGUAGAUAUUCGCAAGAACACCAGUGGCGAAGGCGGCUCACUGGUCCGGUUCUGACGCUGAGGCGCGAAAGCGUGGGAGCAAACA